This 482-nucleotide ribosomal RNA is filed under the name uncultured bacterium. RNAcentral's name for it is "partial 16S ribosomal RNA". It matches the Rfam family "Bacterial small subunit ribosomal RNA", at positions 30 to 507 of the family's 1533-position model. The record is from RNAcentral.
AUUGAACGCUGGCGGCAUGCCUUACACAUGCAAGUCGAACGGUAACAGGUCUUCGGUUGCUGACGAGUGGCGAACGGGUGAGUAAUACAUCGGAACGUGCCCGAUCGUGGGGGAUAACUAAUCGAAAGAUUUGCUAAUACCGCAUACGAUCUACGGAUGAAAGCAGGGGACCUCCAGGCCUUGCGCGACCAGAGCGGCCGAUGGCAGAUUAGGUAGUUGGUGGGAUAAAAGCUUACCAAGCCGACGAUCUGUAGCUGGUCUGAGAGGACGACCAGCCACACUGGGACUGAGACACGGCCCAGACUCCUACGGGAGGCAGCAGUGGGGAAUUUUGGACAAUGGGCGCAAGCCUGAUCCAGCAAUGCCGCGUGCAGGAUGAAGGCCUUCGGGUUGUAAACUGCUUUUGUACGGAACGAAAAGACUCUGGUUAAUACCUGGGGUUCAUGACGGUACCGUAAGAAUAAGCACCGGCUAACUACGUG